Molecule: ribosomal RNA, 420 nt
Filed under: uncultured Tenacibaculum sp.
Lineage: Bacteria; Pseudomonadati; Bacteroidota; Flavobacteriia; Flavobacteriales; Flavobacteriaceae
Description: bacterial SSU rRNA
Rfam family: Bacterial small subunit ribosomal RNA
Source: RNAcentral
GAGGAAUAUUGGACAAUGGGCGCAAGCCUGAUCCAGCCAUGCCGCGUGCAGGAAGACUGCCCUAUGGGUUGUAAACUGCUUUUAUACGGGAAGAAACACCCCUACGUGUAGGGGCUUGACGGUACCGUAAGAAUAAGCACCGGCUAACUCCGUGCCAGCAGCCGCGGUAAUACGGAGGGUGCAAGCGUUAUCCGGAAUCAUUGGGUUUAAAGGGUCCGCAGGCGGUCAAUUAAGUCAGAGGUGAAAUCCCACAGCUUAACUGUGGAACUGCCUUUGAUACUGGUUGACUUGAGUUAUACGGAAGUAGAUAGAAUAUGUAGUGUAGCGGUGAAAUGCAUAGAUAUUACAUAGAAUACCGAUUGCGAAGGCAGUCUACUACGUGUAUACUGACGCUCAUGGACGAAAGCGUGGGGAGCGAAC